Molecule: ribosomal RNA, 500 nt
Filed under: uncultured bacterium
Lineage: Bacteria
Description: partial 16S ribosomal RNA
Rfam family: Bacterial small subunit ribosomal RNA
Source: RNAcentral
AUUGAACGCUGGCGGUAUGCUUAACAUAUGCAAGUCGAACGGCAGCACGGUAUGUAGCAAUACAUAUGGGUGGCAAGUGGCGGACGGGUGAGUAACGCGUAGGAAUCUGCCCUCAAGCGGGGGACAACCCGAGGAAACUCGGGCUAAUACCGCAUAAACUCGGAAGAGAAAAGCUGGGGUAACCUGGCACUUGAGGAGGAGCCUGCGUCUGAUUAGCUAGUUGGUAGGGUAAAGGCCUACCAAGGCGAUGAUCAGUAGCUGGUCUGAGAGGAUGACCAGCCACACUGGAACUGAGACACGGUCCAGACUACUACGGGAGGCAGCAGUGGGGAAUAUUGGACAAUGGGGGAAACCCUGAUCCAGCAAUACCGCGUGUGAAGAAGGCCUUCGGGUUGUAAAGCACUUUAGUUGGGGAGGAAGGUUAGCAGUUUAAGAGAUGGCUAAUUUGACUGUACCCAAAGAAUAAGCACCGGCUAACUCUGUGCCAGCAGCCGCAGUAA